GCCUGGCUGGCUCAGUCGGUAGAGCAUGUGACUGUUAAUCUCAGGGUCAUGAGUUCAAGCCCCACACUGGGGG
This 73-nucleotide transfer RNA is filed under the name Felis catus (domestic cat). It matches the Rfam family "tRNA". Rfam says of the family: Transfer RNA (tRNA) molecules are approximately 80 nucleotides in length. Their secondary structure includes four short double-helical elements and three loops (D, anti-codon, and T loops). The record is from Rfam by way of RNAcentral. Lineage: Eukaryota; Metazoa; Chordata; Mammalia; Carnivora; Felidae.